UCUUGUAUGACCAUUUUUUUUUUCCUUUUUAGUAGCAUUUCUUUGGCCAUGUAUCCAGGGUUCACAUUCUUGUGAGGUAGGUUUAAUUAAUCCUAGUUUAAGCCCUAUAAAUAAACAGCUUCUCCUCUCUGUCAUUUUAUUUCUCUCCAAUCUUCAAUGGCAAUGGGAAAAUCUUUACUUCUCUCUCUCAUUGUAAUUGCCUUUAUGGUCUCUUCUGUUAGCGCUGAUGGUGUAGUAAUAGGUGCGUACACUCGCCUUCGUGCGUGUUCUGCAGAUCCAUACUUUGGAGACUUUGAGUGUGAUGGGGCAUGCAAAGCCCGAGGAUACAGCUCUGGGUCAUGCCGUGACGUGCGAGAAUAUGUCGUUCCACAAUGUUGCUGCGAUUAGUCAUCAACUCUUUUAAAACGCUCGAUAAUAUAUCAAAUCAUAAAGGCUUCUAUCUAUACUUUGAUAAGCCAAUAAUAAUGUACUCAUUACUUUUGUUAUCAGAAUAAAAGUACUCUUAUAUGUCACUA
Theobroma cacao (cacao) is the source of this 515-nucleotide non-coding RNA. NCBI's taxonomy places the organism in Eukaryota, Viridiplantae, Streptophyta, Magnoliopsida, Malvales, Malvaceae. The record is from RefSeq and is a predicted model, not a curated record.